This 323-nucleotide ribosomal RNA is filed under the name Pheidole ampla. RNAcentral describes it as "partial 12S ribosomal RNA". Lineage: Eukaryota; Metazoa; Arthropoda; Insecta; Hymenoptera; Formicidae. The record is from RNAcentral.
UUAUAAUUAAAAUUAAUUAAUAAGAAAUUAAAUGAAAUCAUUAAAUUUAAAAAAUUUGGCGGUAUUUUAAAUAGUUAGAGGAAUUUGUUAAUUAAAUGAUAAUCCACGAAUGGAAUGUCCUAAUCAAGAUUUUAUAUAUUGUUGUAUAAAAAUUAUUUUAUAAGAAUUAUAAUUGAAAUAUUUAAUGUAAUUUGAAUUCAAAUCAAAAUGUAGAAUUAUUAGGGAUAAAUGAAUUAUGGUUAAUUUAAUAUGAUAAUUAUUUUUUUAAUUAAAAUAAUGAUAUAAGAUUUAAAAGUAAAUUAAAAAAAUUUUUAAAUGAAAUA